UCAAAAACGGACGUCGAAAACGACUUUUUCAGGAUUUUCAAAGUGCUCUCAUUCCCUUAGUUCUGCUCGGAUCCUGUUAUAACCCGGUGUUUUCGUAAUCUAGGUGACCCAAAUAAGACGCUGGUAUACUUAGUUUGAUUUCGAAAAAAAUCAAUUUUUGGUGAAAAAAUUCGAUACGGGGGGUAUACCCGAAAAAUGAAAAAACCCAAACUUUGAAGGUCGAUAUCUCGGCUUCUAUGGGAGCUAUCGGGAAAAUUCCAACGGUUUUGUCUUAGUUUCGUCAUUCUGAAUCCAACGAGACCAUCCGC
This is a long non-coding RNA of Anthonomus grandis grandis, 308 nucleotides long. RefSeq lists it as uncharacterized. The transcript is spliced from 3 exons. The record is from RefSeq and is a predicted model, not a curated record. NCBI's taxonomy places the organism in Eukaryota, Metazoa, Arthropoda, Insecta, Coleoptera, Curculionidae.